GCUAAUCUGGCAGAUUAUGUUUUAGAUUUAGGAUCUAACUAUGUAGGUGUGAAUCCUACGGUUAGCA
RNAcentral lists this transfer RNA (67 nucleotides) under Sida crystallina. Its description in RNAcentral is "tRNA-Leu". It matches the Rfam family "tRNA". From Rfam's summary of the family: Transfer RNA (tRNA) molecules are approximately 80 nucleotides in length. Their secondary structure includes four short double-helical elements and three loops (D, anti-codon, and T loops). Lineage: Eukaryota; Metazoa; Arthropoda; Branchiopoda; Diplostraca; Sididae. The record is from RNAcentral.